This 443-nucleotide ribosomal RNA is filed under the name uncultured marine bacterium. RNAcentral's name for it is "bacterial SSU rRNA". It matches the Rfam family "Bacterial small subunit ribosomal RNA", at positions 338 to 795 of the family's 1533-position model. The record is from RNAcentral.
CCUACGGGAGGCAGCAGUGGGGAAUUUUCCGCAAUGGGCGAAAGCCUGACGGAGCAACGCCGCGUGAGGGAAGAAAGUCUUUGGAUUGUAAACCUCUUUUCUCAGGGAAGAAGUCAGUGACGGUACCUGAGGAAUCAGCAUCGGCUAACUCCGUGCCAGCAGCCGCGGUAAUACGGAGGAUGCAAGCGUUAUCCGGAAUUAUUGGGCGUAAAGCGUUCGUAGGCGGUUAUUUAAGUCUGCUGUUAAAGCACGGAGCUUAACUCCGGGAGAGCAGUGGAAACUGAGUAACUAGAGUAUGGUAGGGGUAGAGGGAAUUCCCAGUGUAGCGGUGAAAUGCGUAGAUAUUGGGAAGAACACCGGUGGCGAAAGCGCUCUACUAGGCCAUAACUGACGCUGAGGGACGAAAGCUAGGGGAGCGAAAGGGAUUAGAUACCCCUGUAGUC